AGAACGACUCUCGGCAACGGAUAUCUCGGCUCUCGCAUCGAUGAAGAACGUAGCGAAAUGCGAUACUUGGUGUGAAUUGCAGAAUCCCGUGAACCAUCGAGUCUUUGAACGCAAGUUGCGCCCGAAGCCUUCUGGCCGAGGGCACGUCUGUCUCGGCGUCACGC
Molecule: ribosomal RNA, 164 nt
Filed under: Rheum palmatum
Lineage: Eukaryota; Viridiplantae; Streptophyta; Magnoliopsida; Caryophyllales; Polygonaceae
Description: 5.8S ribosomal RNA
Rfam family: 5.8S ribosomal RNA
About the family: 5.8S ribosomal RNA (5.8S rRNA) is a component of the large subunit of the eukaryotic ribosome. It is transcribed by RNA polymerase I as part of the 45S precursor that also contains 18S and 28S rRNA.
Source: RNAcentral